This 420-nucleotide ribosomal RNA is filed under the name uncultured archaeon. RNAcentral describes it as "partial 16S ribosomal RNA". It matches the Rfam family "Archaeal small subunit ribosomal RNA", at positions 323 to 746 of the family's 1478-position model. The record is from RNAcentral.
CUACGGGAGGCAGCAGUCGAGGAAAUUUUACAAUGUUCGAAAGAAUGAUAGAAUAAACCAGAGUGUUUCUCCUAGAGAAACUUUUGUUUGUUGUAAAAAGACAGACGAAUAAGGACUGGGCAAGACCGGUGCCAGCCGCCGCGGUAAUACCGGCGGUCCAAGUCGUAUCCACAUUUAUUGGGUCUAAAACAUUCGUAGCUUGUUUUGUAAGUUUCUUGUGAAAUCUGAUAUCUCAAGUAUCAGGCGUGCAAGAAAUACUGCAUUACUAGAGACCGGAAGAUGCAAAGAGUAUAAUUAAGGUAGCGGUAAAAUGUGUUAAUCUUAAUUAGACUAACAAUGGCGAAGGCACUUUGCAAGUACGGAUCUGACAGUGAGGGAUGAAGGCUAGGGGCGCAAAACGGAUUAGAUACCCGAGUAGUC